CAUCUUUUUGUUUUUAAAAGACCUUCUUCGGAGGGUAUGCUUAAAGAGGGGCUUGCGCCACAUUAGUUAGUUGGUGAGGUAAAGGCUUACCAAGAUUAUGAUGUGUAGCUGGACUGAGAGGUUGAACAGCCACAUUGGGACUGAGACACGGCCCAAACUCCUACGGGAGGCAGCAGUAGGGAAUUUUCGGCAAUGGAGGAAACUCUGACCGAGCGACGCCGCGUGAACGAUGAAGUAUUUCGGUAUGUAAAGUUCUUUUAUUGAAGAAGAAAAAAUAGUGGAAAAACUAUCUUGACGUUAUUCAAUGAAUAAGCCCCGGCUAACUAUGUGCCAGCAGCCGCGGUAAGACAUAGGGGGCGAGCGUUAUCCGGAAUUAUUGGGCGUAAAGGGUGCGUAGGCGGUUAGAUAAGUCUAUAAUUUAAUUUCAGUGCUUAACGCUGUCUUGUUAUAGAAACUGUCUUGACUAGAGUGAGAUAGAGGCAAGCGGAAUUCCAUGUGUAGCGGUAAAAUGUGUAAAUAUAUGGAGGAACACCAGAAGCGUAGGCGGCUUGCUGGGUCUUUACUGACGCUGAGGCACGAAAGCGUGGGGAGCAAACAGGAUUAGAUACCCUGGUAGUCCACGCUGUAAACGAUGAGUACUAAGUGUCGGGGAAACUCGGUACUGAAGUUAACACAUUAAGUACUCCGCCUGAGUAGUACGUACGCAAGUAUGAAACUUAAAGGAAUUGACGGGACUCCGCACAAGCGGUGGAUCAUGUUGUUUAAUUCGAAGAUACACGAAAAACCUUACCAGGUCUUGACAUACUCUGCAAAGCUAUAGAAAUAUAGUGGAGGUUAUCAGGGAUACAGGUGGUGCAUGGUUGUCGUCAGUUCGUGUCGUGAGAUGUUAGGUUAAGUCCUAAAACGAACGCAACCCCUGUCGUUAGUUGCCAGCACGUAAUGGUGGGGACUUUAGCGAGACUGCCAAUUAAACAUUGGAGGAAGGUGGGGAUAACGUCAAAUCAUCAUGCCCCUUAUGAUCUGGGCUACAAACGUGAUACAAUGGCUAUUACAAAGAGUAGCUGAAACGCGAGUUUUUAGCCAAUCUCAAAAAGGUAGUCUCAGUACGGAUUGAAGUCUGCAACUCGACUUCAUGAAGCUGGAAUCGCUA
This 1150-nucleotide ribosomal RNA is filed under the name Candidatus Phytoplasma ulmi. RNAcentral describes it as "bacterial SSU rRNA". It matches the Rfam family "Bacterial small subunit ribosomal RNA", at positions 189 to 1337 of the family's 1533-position model. The record is from RNAcentral. Lineage: Bacteria; Bacillati; Mycoplasmatota; Mollicutes; Acholeplasmatales; Acholeplasmataceae.